RNAcentral lists this ribosomal RNA (253 nucleotides) under uncultured bacterium. RNAcentral's name for it is "partial 16S ribosomal RNA". It matches the Rfam family "Bacterial small subunit ribosomal RNA", at positions 524 to 776 of the family's 1533-position model. The record is from RNAcentral.
UACAGAGGGGGCAAGCGUUGUUCGGAAUUACUGGGCGUAAAGGGCGCGUAGGCGGCCUGCUAAGUCGAACGUGAAAUCCCCGGGCUUAACCUGGGAACUGCAUUUGUGACUGGCAAGCUAGAGUAUGGCAGAGGGGGGUAGAAUUCCACGUGUAGCAGUGAAAUGCGUAGAGAUGUGGAGGAAUACCGAUGGCGAAGGCAGCCCCCUGGGAUAACACUGACGCUCAUGCACGAAAGCGUGGGGAGCAAACAGG